UACGUAGGUGGCGAGCGUUGUCCGGAAUUACUGGGUGUAAAGGGAGCGCAGGCGGGAGUGCAAGUUGGAUGUGAAAUGCCGCAGCUCAACUGCGGAGCUGCAUCCAAAACUGCAUUUCUUGAGUGAAGUAGAGGUAGGCGGAAUUCCUAGUGUAGCGGUGAAAUGCGUAGAUAUUAGGAGGAACACCAGUGGCGAAGGCGGCCUACUGGGCUUUAACUGACGCUGAGGCUCGAAAGCGUGGGGAGCAAAC
RNAcentral lists this ribosomal RNA (250 nucleotides) under uncultured bacterium. Its description in RNAcentral is "partial 16S ribosomal RNA". It matches the Rfam family "Bacterial small subunit ribosomal RNA", at positions 524 to 773 of the family's 1533-position model. The record is from RNAcentral.